RNAcentral lists this ribosomal RNA (330 nucleotides) under uncultured eukaryote. RNAcentral describes it as "partial 18S ribosomal RNA". It matches the Rfam family "Eukaryotic small subunit ribosomal RNA", at positions 1470 to 1796 of the family's 1831-position model. The record is from RNAcentral.
CCCUUAGAUGUUCGGGGCCGCACGCGCGCUACACUGAAGGAAUCAGCACGUCUUUCUCCUUGUCCGAAAGGACUGGGUAACCCGCUGAACCUCCUUCGUGCUAGGGAUUGGGGCUUGUAAUUCUUCCCCAUGAACGAGGAAUUCCCAGUAAGCGCGAGUCAUAAGCUCGCGUUGAUUACGUCCCUGCCCUUUGUACACACCGCCUGUCGCUACUACCGAUUGGAUGGUUUAGUGAGAUCCUCGGAUUGGUCCCGGCGCGGCCUCUGGUCGUGCCGGAGUGCCGAAAAGAAUGUCGAACUUGAUCAUCUAGAGGAAGUAAAAGUCGUAACA